This 470-nucleotide ribosomal RNA is filed under the name uncultured beta proteobacterium. Its description in RNAcentral is "bacterial SSU rRNA". It matches the Rfam family "Bacterial small subunit ribosomal RNA", at positions 51 to 510 of the family's 1533-position model. The record is from RNAcentral. Lineage: Bacteria; Pseudomonadati; Pseudomonadota; Betaproteobacteria.
ACACAUGCAAGUCGAACGGCAGCAUGAUCUAGCUUGCUAGAUUGAUGGCGAGUGGCGAACGGGUGAGUAAUACAUCGGAACGUGCCCUGUAGUGGGGGAUAACUAGUCGAAAGAUUAGCUAAUACCGCAUACGACCUGAGGGUGAAAGUGGGGGACCGCAAGGCCUCAUGCUAUAGGAGCGGCCGAUGUCUGAUUAGCUAGUUGGUGAGGUAAAGGCUCACCAAGGCGACGAUCAGUAGCUGGUCUGAGAGGACGAUCAGCCACACUGGGACUGAGACACGGCCCAGACUCCUACGGGAGGCAGCAGUGGGGAAUUUUGGACAAUGGGCGAAAGCCUGAUCCAGCAAUGCCGCGUGUGUGAAGAAGGCCUUCGGGUUGUAAAGCACUUUUGUCCGGAAAGAAAUGGCUCUGGUUAAUACCUGGGGUCGAUGACGGUACCGGAAGAAUAAGGACCGGCUAACUACGUGCCA